AGACUGAAAUUUUACAUUUUUAUACUAAACACCAUGUUUAGACUCUGAAUUUUUUCCAUAUAAUUUUAUUUUAAAAGGCAAAGACUUUUUUCCUAAAUCGGUCUCAAGGACUUAUUUAUUAUAUGGAAAAAAAUUCAGAGUCUAAACAUGGUGUUUAGUAUAAAAAUGUAAAAUUUCAGUCU
Molecule: microRNA precursor, 182 nt
Filed under: Arabidopsis lyrata
Lineage: Eukaryota; Viridiplantae; Streptophyta; Magnoliopsida; Brassicales; Brassicaceae
Description: miR3442 stem-loop (aly-MIR3442)
Source: miRBase by way of RNAcentral